CGUUGGGCAGGUGGGGCAGCAGGUGGGCGCACUGGAGCUGAGGGAUAACAGGUGGAACAAACUGGGGACUACACUCGUGGGCGCACGUGCGGAGGAGGGACUGAGGCGGCUCCUGCGUGCUCCCCUCGCGCAACGCCGACUGCUUCAACCGUACCUCCCGCGGCCGGCACCGCUGACUCCUACCGCUCCGCUUACUGCGCGCCCUCCGCCCUCGUGCAGCCAGCUCCCAGCCGAGUCCGCGCGAGGGCCAGGCUACAGACCUGCCCGCGGGCAGCUGGCGGUUGGGGAGGGCGUUGGGAGGAGCCCCGCCCCGGUGGACGCGCGCUCUUCAGUGGCAGAGGCGGCGGCGAGGCCUGAGCGAGUUGAACUUCCUCUCUUUUUAGAAGAAUGGAUUUCUCGGAGGCCAAAAAAUUUAUGGUUCUUCUUUGGAAGAAUUUUAUUUUAAAGGUAAGUUGAACUACCUAUAGGGUUAUUCCAACAGCUCAGAGGCCACAGGGGGAAAUUCUGACAGCUUGAUCAUUGAAUUUCAACUUUUACUGUUUUACUUUUUUCAGUACGAAGGCUGGGUUAUCUCUGCCAAAUAUAGAGUUCUCCCAGAGGGAGAUAAUAGCAGGCUGUUAUGUAGAAAGCAGAAAAAAGACAGUCCAGGAAACUCCUGCUAUUAUAGAGUGAAGCUGUGUUUUUGGCAACCUAUAUAUUCUUUUAUAAAGUAUCUUUUAUCUUAAUAUAAAAGAAUUAUACACAAUACAGGACUAUUCAGCCAUGAAAAAUAAUGAGAUCCUCUCAUUUGCAACAAUAUAGAUGGAACUGGAGGUCAUUAUGUAAAGUGAGAUAAGCCAGGCACAGAAAGACAAACUUUGCAUGUUCUCACUUAUUGGUAGAAACUAAAAAUUGAAACAAUUGAACUCAUGGAGAUGGACAGUAGAAGGAUGGUUAACAGAGGCCGGGAAGGGGUAGCUUGGGGUAGGUAAGGGGGAAGUGGAGAUGGUUAAUGGGUACAAAAAAUAGAAAGCAUGGAUAAGACAUAGUAUUUGCUAGCACAACAGAAUGACUAGAGUCAAAAAUAAUUUGAUCGUACAUUUAAAACUAUCUAAAAGAGUAUAACUGGAUUGUUUGUAACAUAAGGGAUAAAUGCUUGAGGGAAUGGAUACCCAAUUUACCUUGAUGUGAUGAUUAUGCAUUGUGUGCCUGUAUCAAAAUAUCUCAUGUAACCCAUAAAUACAUAUACCUGCUAUGUACCCACGAAAAUUAAAAAUUAAAAAAAAUUCAAAAAUGAACUUGCAAAGUUAAUAACCUCUUAGGACAAUUAACAUAAUCUUUUUUCUUCUUCUUCUAGAGGCGGCGAU
RNAcentral lists this long non-coding RNA (1346 nucleotides) under Macaca mulatta (Rhesus monkey). RNAcentral's name for it is "lncRNA (ENSMMUG00000051920.1)". The record is from RNAcentral. Lineage: Eukaryota; Metazoa; Chordata; Mammalia; Primates; Cercopithecidae.